GAACGGUAACAGCAGGGGCUUGCUCCUGGCUGACGAGUGGCGGACGGGUGCGUAACGCGUAGGAAUCUGCCUAUUAGUGGGGGACAACAUGGUGAAAACCAUGCUAAUACCGCAUACGCCCUACGGGGGAAAGCGGGGGAUCUUCGGACCUCGCGCUAAUAGAUGAGCCUGCGUUAGAUUAGCUAGUUGGUGGGGUAAAGGCUCACCAAGGCGACGAUCUAUAGCUGGUCUGAGAGGACGAUCAGCCACACUGGGACUGAGACACGGCCCAGACUCCUACGGGAGGCAGCAGUGGGGAAUAUUGGACAAUGGGCGGAAGCCUGAUCCAGCAAUACCGCGUGUGUGAAGAAGGCCUGAGGGUUGUAAAGCACUUUCAAUUGGGAGGAAACAGGCAGGUUAAUAC
Molecule: ribosomal RNA, 403 nt
Filed under: uncultured prokaryote
Description: bacterial SSU rRNA
Rfam family: Bacterial small subunit ribosomal RNA
Source: RNAcentral